AAGUCGUAACAAGGUUUCCGUAGGUGAACCUGCGGAAGGAUCAUUAAUGAAUGAUAAUUUUUUGGGGUUUUCCCUGAAAAAUAAUUCACCUUUUGUGCAUUGUUAUUAGAUAUACUUUGGUUAGAGCUUUGAUUUCAUUUAUUGGAAUCAACUUCUUGCUGACUCUAUCCUAUUGUAUGGGACAGUUGGCUAUGAAGCGGCCUACCAAGGUUUUUUUUAUCAAACUCUUGUAUUUUGUCUGACCUAAAAACAAAUAAUUAAAUCAUAACUUUCAACAACGGAUCUCUUGGCUCUC
Molecule: unclassified non-coding RNA, 295 nt
Filed under: fungal sp.
Lineage: Eukaryota; Fungi
Description: partial internal transcribed spacer region
Rfam family: Eukaryotic small subunit ribosomal RNA (bases 1-46)
Source: RNAcentral